AGAGCUUGAAGCCAAUACUCACAUGGCACCUACAAUCAGGAGCAGAGAGAAGUGAAUGCAUGCCCACUCCCUUGCUCCUGCUCAGCCAGGCUUCUCCACUCUCAAUAUAAUUUAGGACAUCCCCCACCCCAAUGCCUGGGUAGCAGUCCCAUCUAUAGUGUGCCCUCACAGUGUGCUGGGUCUUCGUACAUCUAUUAACUAAGACAAUCCUCCACAGACAUUCCCAUAGACUAGCCCAAAACAAACUAUCUCUCACAGAGACUCUCUUCCUAUGAUUCUAGAUUGUGUCAAACAGAAAAUUAAAAAUAAACAGCAUAGUCCUUAUGGUAAUGCAGACUUGAAAGAACAUCAUCAUAUGGCCAUAGUUCUGGAGUCCUGCAUCGUUAUCUUCAGUACAGUAUGCUCUGCACUUGUGGUCAGCAACAGCAGUGCUGUGACAGACGUGUAAUACUUCAGUCCUCAGCACAACAAUGCUUAUCACCAGAAGCGACCACCCUAAAAUGCCACCUACUGUAUGACUAUGGGGACAUCAGAGAAGAUGUGACUCACACGGACCAUGUUCACAUAGAGAACUGACAGUGCAAGACCAGAUUCAAUAAGGAGGAGUGGCCCCACAGCGCCCUGGGAGGUCGUCUGCAAGUAGGACACAUCACAUGCAGAACAAGGAACAACUUCUCAAACAACGUGACCCGCCAAGCCCAGGCAGAGUGGCUCCUCGGCAGGUCAUCUCUGUUGUGAGCUCAGUGCUCAUUCUUAAAUGGCCAUCCACUGGCUGCCUCUCCGACAGCCACAGAACUGGGUUUGGGUGUGCUAUCUUUCAGCUACAGAAGAACAAAAGAGCAAGCUACUGAAGGCCGCAGAAGGAAGGCACAGUAAAUGAAGGACCUGCAGGGCCGGAGGUGACAGGAUGAACAAACUGAGCCUGACUCACUUGCUCAAGGUCACAGGGCUGCGACCUGCUAAGACCAGACUGAAGGCAGUUCUACCUCUGGAGCCCUGUUCUGCCCAAUAUAUCUGUCUAAUAUUGCAUCAUAAUAGCACGUUAUGAAUUAAAUGUUACAUUUUAAAGGAGAAAAACAGUGUCUUCCUCUAGGAAAAAGGAUGAAAUAUUUUUCCCUUA
Peromyscus eremicus (cactus mouse) is the source of this 1120-nucleotide long non-coding RNA. RefSeq lists it as uncharacterized. NCBI's taxonomy places the organism in Eukaryota, Metazoa, Chordata, Mammalia, Rodentia, Cricetidae. The transcript is spliced from 4 exons. The record is from RefSeq and is a predicted model, not a curated record.